GACGAACGCUGGCGGCGUGCCUAAUACAUGCAAGUAGAACGCUGAAGGAGGAGCUUGCUUCUCUGGAUGAGUUGCGAACGGGUGAGUAACGCGUAGGUAACCUGCCUGGUAGCGGGGGAUAACUAUUGGAAACGAUAGCUAAUACCGCAUAAUAGUAGAUGUUGCAUGACAUUUGCAUAAAAGGUGCAAUUGCAUCACUACCAGAUGGACCUGCGUUGUAUUAGCUAGUUGGUGGAGUAACGGCUCACCAAGGCGACGAUACAUAGCCGACCUGAGAGGGUGAUCGGCCACACGGGGACUGAGACACGGCCCAAACUCCUACGGGAGGCAGCGGUAGGGAAUCUUCGGCAAUGGACGGAAGUCUGACCGAGCAACGCCGCGUGAGUGAAGAAGGUUUUCGGAUCGUAAAGCUCUGUUGUAAGAGGAGAACGAGUGUGAGAGUGGAAAGUUCACACUGUGACGGUAACUUACCAGAAAGGGACGGCUGACUACGUG
This 495-nucleotide ribosomal RNA is filed under the name uncultured bacterium. Its description in RNAcentral is "partial 16S ribosomal RNA". It matches the Rfam family "Bacterial small subunit ribosomal RNA", at positions 28 to 507 of the family's 1533-position model. The record is from RNAcentral.